AUUGAACGCUGGCGGCAGGCCUAACACAUGCAAGUCGAACGAGUGGCGGACGGGUGAGUAAUGUCUGGGAAACUGCCUGAUGGAGGGGGAUAACUACUGGAACCGGUAGCUAAUACCGCAUACCAUCAGAUGUGCCCAGAUGGGAUUAGCUUGUAGGUGGGGUAAUGGCUCACCUAGGCCACGAUCCCUAGCUGGUCUGAGAGGAUGACCAGCCACACUGGAACUGGGAAACGGUCCAGAGUCCUACGGGAGGCAGAAGUGGGGAAUAUGGCACAAUGGGCGCAAGCCUGAUGCAGCAAUGCCGCGUGUGUGAGGAAGGCCUUCGGGUUGUAAAGCACUUUCAGCGAGGAGGCGUUACUCACAGAAGAAGCACCGGCUAACUCCGUGCCAGCAGCCGCGGUAAUAC
Molecule: ribosomal RNA, 406 nt
Filed under: uncultured bacterium
Lineage: Bacteria
Description: partial 16S ribosomal RNA
Rfam family: Bacterial small subunit ribosomal RNA
Source: RNAcentral